GGAGCCGAAGCGCAACUGGUCGCGCGCCCGGUUGUCUCCCGGGAGGCUGCGGGUUGGCUGCGGCCGCUGGCGCGGCCUUGCCCGCUUGCCGGACUCCGUCCGGCACCGGCCCUGCGGGCCGGACGCGUCGAGUCCCGUCGGCUCCG
Molecule: transfer RNA, 146 nt
Filed under: Gemmatimonadota bacterium
Lineage: Bacteria; Pseudomonadati; Gemmatimonadota
Description: Gemmatimonadetes bacterium (activated sludge metagenome) tRNA-Asp
Source: RNAcentral